AACGAACGCUGGCGGCGCGCCUAAUACAUGCAAGUCGAGCGAGAAGGUGUAGCAAUACACUUGUAAAGCGGCGAACGGGUGAGGAAUACAUGGGUAAUCUACCAUCGAGUGGGGAAUAACCAACCGAAAGGUUGGCUAAUACCGCGUACGCCUCCGGGUCUUCGGGUUCGGAGGGAAAGCUGCACUGUGAGUGUAGCGCUCUUUGAUGAGCUCAUGUCCUAUCAGCUUGUUGGUAGGGUAACGGCCUACCAAGGCUUUGACGGGUAGCUGGUCUGAGAGGACGAUCAGCCACACUGGCACUGCGACACGGGCCAGACUCCUACGGGAGGCAGCAGUAAGGAAUAUUGCGCAAUGGGCGAAAGCCUGACGCAGCGACGCCGCGUGGGGGAUGAAGGUCUUCGGAUUGUAAACCCCUUUCGGGAGGGAAGAUGGAGCGAGCAAUCGUUCGGACGGUACCUCCAGAAGCAGCCACGGCCAACUUCGUGCCAGCAGCCG
RNAcentral lists this ribosomal RNA (495 nucleotides) under uncultured bacterium. Its description in RNAcentral is "bacterial SSU rRNA". It matches the Rfam family "Bacterial small subunit ribosomal RNA", at positions 29 to 517 of the family's 1533-position model. The record is from RNAcentral.